UGGCUGGUGCUGGGAGUCGAUGGAACAG
RNAcentral lists this non-coding RNA (28 nucleotides) under Homo sapiens (human). Lineage: Eukaryota; Metazoa; Chordata; Mammalia; Primates; Hominidae. The record is from RNAcentral.